UUUAAUGGCCGCAGUAUUUUGACUGUGCAAAGGUAGCAUAAUCAUUAGUUUUUUAAUUAAAAACUGGAAUGAAGGGUUGGACGAGAAAAUUACUGUCUCUUUAUAAAUUUUUUAGAAUUUUAUUUUUAAGUUAAAAAGCUUAAAUUACUUUAAAAGACGAGAAGACCCUAUAGAGUUUUAUAAUUAUGUAUAAAAUAAUAUAUAUUGAAUUUUAUAUUUAUAUUUUACUUAAUUAUUUGAUUGGGGUGAUUAAAAAAUUUAAUAAACUUUUUUUAUAAUAAAUCAUUAAUAUAUGAUUUUUUGAUCCAUAAUUUAUGAUUAUAAGAUUAAAUUACCUUAGGGAUAACAGCGUAAUUUCUUUGAAGAGUUCUAAUCGAUAAAGAAGUUUGCGACCUCGAUGUUGGAUUAAAAUUUAUCUUUGGUGUAGUAGUUAAAGAAUUAGGUCUGUUCGACCUUUAAAAUUUUACAUGAUCUGAGUUUAAACCGGUGUGAGCCAGGUUGGUUUCUAUCUUUAAAAAUAAUAAUAAUAUUUUAGUACGAAAGGACCAAGUAUUAAUAAAAUUUAUUUAAUAGGAUUAUCAAUAAUAU
This 588-nucleotide ribosomal RNA is filed under the name Ischnopoderona gracilicornis. RNAcentral's name for it is "partial 16S ribosomal RNA". It matches the Rfam family "Bacterial large subunit ribosomal RNA", at positions 1923 to 2740 of the family's 2925-position model. Lineage: Eukaryota; Metazoa; Arthropoda; Insecta; Coleoptera; Staphylinidae. The record is from RNAcentral.